RNAcentral lists this unclassified non-coding RNA (257 nucleotides) under uncultured fungus. RNAcentral's name for it is "sequence contains ITS2". The stretch from base 1 to 52 matches the Rfam family "5.8S ribosomal RNA", at positions 103 to 154 of the family's 154-position model. Lineage: Eukaryota; Fungi. The record is from RNAcentral.
AACGCACAUUGCGCCCGCCAGUAUUCUGGCGGGCAUGCCUGUCCGAGCGUCAUUUCAACCCUCAAGCCCCCGGGCUUGGUGUUGGAGACCGGCGAGCCCUCCGGGGCACGCCGCCUCCCAAAUUUAGUGGCGGUCUCGCUGUAGCUUCCUCUGCGUAGUAGCACACCUCGCACUGGGAAACAGCGUGGCCACGCCGUAAAACCCCCCACUUCUGAAAGGUUGACCUCGGAUCAGGUAGGAAUACCCGCUGAACUUAA